This 86-nucleotide transfer RNA is filed under the name Elioraea tepida. It matches the Rfam family "tRNA". Rfam says of the family: Transfer RNA (tRNA) molecules are approximately 80 nucleotides in length. Their secondary structure includes four short double-helical elements and three loops (D, anti-codon, and T loops). The record is from Rfam by way of RNAcentral. Lineage: Bacteria; Pseudomonadati; Pseudomonadota; Alphaproteobacteria; Acetobacterales; Elioraeaceae.
GCGGGCGUGGCGGAACUGGUAGACGCAGCGGACUUAAAAUCCGCAGCCGGGCAACCGGCGUGUCGGUUCGACCCCGACCGCCCGCA